GAACUCUCACACAGGCCCAAGGCUUGCCCUUUCUGGCUGUCCUUAAGCAGGACCAGGAGGUGCCAGGCUGGAGAAGGAAUGAGGGGUCAGAGAAGACAGGUGGUUUGCAGUCCAGGGAGAGGAAGGAGGAGGCCAGUGCUGCUCCUACUAAUGACGCCUUCUCCCUUGCCUUCUCCCUUCUCUCCUAGUCCAUGACUUGCAGAGCUUUGGCCUUGACAACAUCAACAUGACCCACUACAUCCAGCACCUGUCAUUUGGGGAGGACUAUCCAGGCAUUGUGAACCCCCUGGACCACACCAAUGUCACUGCGCCCCAAGGUACCAGCCCGGGAGGCAGCCCCCAGCCGCAGAAGGCCGGCCGGGCACCCACACCCAGUGCUUUGUUUUCCCCUCAGCCUCCAUGAUGUUCCAGUACUUUGUGAAGGUGGUGCCCACUGUGUACAUGAAGGUGGACGGAGAGGUACUGAGGACAAAUCAGUUCUCUGUGACCAGACAUGAGAAGGUUGCCAAUGGGCUGUUGGGCGACCAAGGCCUUCCCGGAGUCUUCGUCCUCUAUGAGCUCUCGCCCAUGAUGGUGAAGCUGA
RNAcentral lists this small RNA (583 nucleotides) under Pan troglodytes (chimpanzee). Its description in RNAcentral is "retained intron". The record is from RNAcentral. Lineage: Eukaryota; Metazoa; Chordata; Mammalia; Primates; Hominidae.